UACGUAGGGUGCGAGCGUUGUCCGGAAUUACUGGGCGUAAAGAGCUCGUAGGUGGUUUGUCGCGUCGUCUGUGAAAUUCCGGGGCUUAACUUCGGGCGUGCAGGCGAUACGGGCAAUACUUGAGUGCUGUAGGGGAGACUGGAAUUCCUGGUGUAGCGGUGGAAUGCGCAGAUAUCAGGAGGAACACCAGCGGCGAAGGCGGCGCUCUGGGCCGGAACUGACGCUGAGGAGCGAAAGCGUGGGUAGCAAACAGGAUUAGAUACCCU
This 266-nucleotide ribosomal RNA is filed under the name uncultured prokaryote. RNAcentral describes it as "partial 16S ribosomal RNA". It matches the Rfam family "Bacterial small subunit ribosomal RNA", at positions 524 to 788 of the family's 1533-position model. The record is from RNAcentral.